UAGGGAAUCUUCGGCAAUGGACGAAAGUCUGACCGAGCAACGCCGCGUGAGUGAAGAAGGUUUUCGGAUCGUAAAACUCUGUUGUUAGAGAAGAACAAGGACGUUAGUAACUGAACGUCCCCUGACGGUAUCUAGCCAGAAAGCCACGGCUAACUACGUGCCAGCAGCCGCGGUAAUACGUAGGUGGCAAGCGUUGUCCGGAUUUAUUGGGCGUAAAGCGAGCGCAGGCGGUUUCUUAAGUCUGAUGUGAAAGCCCCCGGCUCAACCGGGGAGGGUCAUUGGAAACUGGGAGACUUGAGUGCAGAAGAUGAGAGUGGAAUUCCAUGUGUAGCGGUGAAAUGCGUAGAUAUAUGGAGGAACACCAGUGGCGAAGGCGGCUCUCUGGUCUGUAACUGACGCUGAGGCUCGAAAGCGUGGGGAGCAAACAGG
This 429-nucleotide ribosomal RNA is filed under the name Gemmatimonadota bacterium. RNAcentral's name for it is "Gemmatimonadetes bacterium partial 16S ribosomal RNA". It matches the Rfam family "Bacterial small subunit ribosomal RNA", at positions 355 to 776 of the family's 1533-position model. The record is from RNAcentral. Lineage: Bacteria; Pseudomonadati; Gemmatimonadota.